Molecule: ribosomal RNA, 253 nt
Filed under: uncultured bacterium
Lineage: Bacteria
Description: partial 16S ribosomal RNA
Rfam family: Bacterial small subunit ribosomal RNA
Source: RNAcentral
UACGUAGGUGGCAAGCGUUAUCCGGAAUUAUUGGGCGUAAAGCGCGCGCAGGCGGUUUCUUAAGUCUGAUGUGAAAGCCCACGGCUCAACCGUGGAGGGUCAUUGGAAACUGGGGAACUUGAGUGCAGAAGAGAAAAGCGGAAUUCCACGUGUAGCGGUGAAAUGCGUAGAGAUGUGGAGGAACACCAGUGGCGAAGGCGGCUUCCUGGACCGGUUCUGACACUGAGGAGCGAAAGCGUGGGGAGCGAUCCGG